This 384-nucleotide ribosomal RNA is filed under the name uncultured bacterium. Its description in RNAcentral is "bacterial SSU rRNA". It matches the Rfam family "Bacterial small subunit ribosomal RNA", at positions 29 to 417 of the family's 1533-position model. The record is from RNAcentral.
AUUAAACGCUGGCGGCAUGCCUUACACAUGCAAGUCGAACGGUAGCGCGGGGCAACCUGGCGACGAGUGGCGAACGGGUGAGUAAAGCAUCGGAACGUGCCCUGGAAUGGGGGAUAACGUAGCGAAAGUUACGCUAAUACCGCAUAUUCUGUGAGCAGGAAAGCAGGGAUCGCAAGACCUUGCGUUCUGGGAGCGGCCGAUGUCGGAUUAGCUAGUUGGUGGGGUAAAAGCCUACCAAGGCGACGAUCCGUAGCGGGUCUGAGAGGAUGAUCCGCCACACUGGGACUGAGACACGGCCCAGACUCCUACGGGAGGCAGCAGUGGGGAAUUUUGGACAAUGGGCGGAAGCCUGAUCCAGCCAUGCCGCGUGAGUGAAGAAGGCCU